Molecule: ribosomal RNA, 468 nt
Filed under: uncultured bacterium
Lineage: Bacteria
Description: partial 16S ribosomal RNA
Rfam family: Bacterial small subunit ribosomal RNA
Source: RNAcentral
GACGAACGCUGGCGGCGUGCUUAACACAUGCAAGUCGAACGGAAAGGCCCUGCUUUUGUGGGGUGCUCGAGUGGCGAACGGGUGCGUAACACGUGAGUAACCUGCCCUUGACUUUGGGAUAACUUCAGGAAACUGGGGCUAAUACCGGAUAGGAGCUCCUGCUGCAUGGUGGGGGUUGGAAAGUUUCGGCGGUUGGGGAUGGACUCGCGGCUUAUCAGCCUGUUGGUGGGGUAGUGGCUUACCAAGGCUUCGACGGGUAGCCGGCCUGAGAGGGUGACCGGCCACAUUGGGACUGAGGUACGGCCCAGACUCCUACGGGAGGCAGCAGUGGGGAAUAUUGCACAAUGGGCGGAAGCCUGAUGCAGCAACGCCGCGUGCGGGAUGACUGCCUUCGGGUUGUAAACCGCUUUCGCCUGUGACGAAGCGUGAGUGACGGUAAUGGGUAAAGAAGCACCGGCUAACUACGUG